GCACGGAGUUAGCCGAUCCUUAUUCUUACCGUACAUUCAACCCGCUACACGUAGCGGAAAUUAUUCCGGUAUAAAAGCAGUUUACAAUGCAGAGCACCGUCUUCCUGCACGCGGCAUGGCUGGUUCAGAGUUGCCUCCAUUGACCAAUAUUCCUUA
Molecule: ribosomal RNA, 156 nt
Filed under: uncultured bacterium
Lineage: Bacteria
Description: partial 16S ribosomal RNA
Source: RNAcentral